CCACCUCCCACCCGUGUUGCCCGAACCUAUGUUGCCUCGGCGGGCCCCGCGCCCGCCGACGGCCCCCCUGAACGCUGUCUGAAGUUGCAGUCUGAGACCUAUAACGAAAUUAGUUAAAACUUUCAACAACGGAUCUCUUGGUUCCGGCAUCGAUGAAGAACGCAGCGAAAUGCGAUAACUAAUGUGAAUUGCAGAAUUCAGUGAAUCAUCGAGUCUUUGAACGCACAUUGCGCCCUCUGGUAUUCCGGAGGGCAUGCCUGUCCGAGCGUCAUUGCUGCCCUCAAGCCCGGCUUGUGUGUUGGGCCCCGUCCCCCCCGCCGGGGGGACGGGCCCGAAAGGCAGCGGCGGCACCGCGUCCGGUCCUCGAGCGUAUGGGGCUUCGUCACCCGCUCUAGUAGGCCCGGCCGGCGCCAGCCGACCCCCAACCUUUAAUUAUCUCAGGUUGACCUCGGAUCAGGUAGGGAUACCCGCUGAACUUAAGCAUAUCAAUAAGCGGAGGA
Molecule: ribosomal RNA, 500 nt
Filed under: Penicillium sp. AC_1
Lineage: Eukaryota; Fungi; Ascomycota; Eurotiomycetes; Eurotiales; Aspergillaceae
Description: eukaryotic LSU rRNA
Rfam family: 5.8S ribosomal RNA (bases 118-271)
Source: RNAcentral